Molecule: transfer RNA, 67 nt
Filed under: Eurytrema pancreaticum
Lineage: Eukaryota; Metazoa; Platyhelminthes; Trematoda; Plagiorchiida; Dicrocoeliidae
Description: tRNA-Asp
Source: RNAcentral
UCCUUAGUUUAAGUUCUAGAAUUGUAAUUUGUCAGGUUGCGGGUACAACUUUGAGGUGUUGUAGGAU